CAGUCGCCGCGGUAAUACGAAGAGUGCAAGCGUUAAUCGGAAUUACUGGGCGUAAAGCGUGCGUAGGCGGUGAGUUAAGUCUGCUGUGAAAUCCCCGGGCUCAACCUGGGAAUGGCAGUGGAUACUGGCUCGCUAGAGUGUGUCAGAGGAUGGUGGAAUUCCCGGUGUAGCGGUGAAAUGCGUAGAGAUCGGGAGGAACAUCGGUGGCGAAGGCGGCCAUCUGGGACAACACUGACGCUGAGGCACGAAAGCGUGGGGAGCAAACAGGAUUAGAGACCCCGGUAGUCCCUGUCUCUUAUAA
RNAcentral lists this ribosomal RNA (301 nucleotides) under uncultured bacterium. RNAcentral's name for it is "partial 16S ribosomal RNA". It matches the Rfam family "Bacterial small subunit ribosomal RNA", at positions 509 to 809 of the family's 1533-position model. The record is from RNAcentral.